UGCUGUUUCGCUGACGAGUGGCGGACGGGUGAGUAAUGUCUGGGAAACUGCCUGAUGGAGGGGGAUAACUACUGGAAACGGUAGCUAAUACCGCAUAACGUCGCAAGACCAAAGAGGGGGACCUUCGGGCCUCUUGCCAUCAGAUGUGCCCAGAUGGGAUUAGCUAGUAGGUGGGGUAACGGCUCACCUAGGCGACGAUCCCUAGCUGGUCUGAGAGGAUGACCAGCCACACUGGAACUGAGACACGGUCCAGACUCCUACGGGAGGCAGCAGUGGGGAAUAUUGCACAAUGGGCGCAAGCCUGAUGCAGCCAUGCCGCGUGUAUGAAGAAGGCCUUCGGGUUGUAAAGUACUUUCAGCGGGGAGGAAGGGAGUAAAGUUAAUACCUUUGCUCAUUGACGUUACCCGCAGAAGAAGCACCGGCUAACUCCGUGCCAGCAGCCGCGGUAAUACGGAGGGUGCAAGCGUUAAUCGGAAUUACUGGGCGUAAAGCGCACGCAGGCGGUUUGUUAAGUCAGAUGUGAAAUCCCCGGGCUCAACCUGGGAACUGCAUCUGAUACUGGCAAGCUUGAGUCUCGUAGAGGGGGGUAGAAUUCCAGGUGUAGCGGUGAAAUGCGUAGAGAUCUGGAGGAAUACCGGUGGCGAAG
RNAcentral lists this ribosomal RNA (646 nucleotides) under uncultured Enterobacteriaceae bacterium. RNAcentral describes it as "SSU rRNA". It matches the Rfam family "Bacterial small subunit ribosomal RNA", at positions 78 to 720 of the family's 1533-position model. Lineage: Bacteria; Pseudomonadati; Pseudomonadota; Gammaproteobacteria; Enterobacterales; Enterobacteriaceae. The record is from RNAcentral.